UGAAGAAACUGCCGGUGACAAGCCGGAGGAAGGUGGGGAUGACGUCAAGUCCUCAUGGCCCUUACGGGCUGGGCUACACACGUGCUACAAUGGCGGUGACAGCGGGAUGCGAAGGGGCGACCCUGAGCUAAUCUCCAAAAACCGUCUCAGUUCGGAUUGUUCUCUGCAACUCGAGAGCAUGAAGUCGGAAUCGCUAGUAAUCGCGGAUCAGCAUGCCGCGGUGAAUACGUUCCCGGGCCUUGUACACACCGCCCGUCACACCAUGGGAGUUGGUUUUACCUUAAGCUGGUGCACUAACCUUCGGGAAGCAGCCAACCACGGUAAGGUCAGCGUCUGGGGUGAAGUCGUAACAAGGUA
Molecule: ribosomal RNA, 357 nt
Filed under: uncultured deep-sea bacterium
Lineage: Bacteria
Description: bacterial SSU rRNA
Rfam family: Bacterial small subunit ribosomal RNA
Source: RNAcentral